UGUUAUCCAUUCAGCAGUAGGUUGUGGCCAACAAGAAAACAAUGCUGACUGAAUAACAUU
Molecule: microRNA precursor, 60 nt
Organism: Oreochromis aureus
Lineage: Eukaryota; Metazoa; Chordata; Actinopteri; Cichliformes; Cichlidae
Source: Ensembl